GCUACUUUUGGUAUACUUACUUACUUUUGGUAUGGAUAAAAUAUAUGGGAGUGAGUGUGUCUGGGUGUGUAUCCGAGGGAAGGCAAGGAAAUGAGUUGUUUUGGGGAAUGACAGCCCCGCGUCCCGUUCCUCUCCCAACCAUUUAAGAAGUAACUAAAGAGUUUGGGAACGGCUCUUUGGAAGAAAAAAUAUAUCGUCUAUAAUUUCUCACCGAAGACCCUGGAGAGAAGCGUUUGAUCCAACUGGUUCCUAUACAAAAACUUCGUCAAAAAGAGUGGAUUCGUUUGAGGACAGAGCAACUCUGGCAAGAUCGUUAUUGGGGGCGGGGAGGGGGGGUUGCGAUGGAGAAAAGAAGGGAAAGGGGAAACACGAGAAAGACACCUAGAUAUUUUUUUAAGUGCUCAAAAGGCGAGCUUUCUUGGGAUGCUGCAGGGAUUCUCUUUAGGGACCACAUCCAGGUGCCACGAAUAUUGCAAGGUUCAUUUUUUUUAGCACCACCCGGUCCUUCCCAUCUCCCUUCCAACAUUCCAUGUACUUCUCAAAAAAUAAGUCACUUACAGAAAAAGAACCAUUCAUGCCACAUUUCUUCCAGAAAAAACACCCCCUCUCCACCUUAUAUAUUUUUUUCUGCAGCCUUUUUCAAAGCAGAAAAGGUCUCUUCGGUGGACAUCCCCCUUCAAUGUAACAGAUAUCAAAUCCUCCAGAAAAAGAUAAAAGAGAUUCGCUUACCUUUCGACGCCCAUCAUCCUGUGGUUAAGGGGAGGAGGAAGAGGAGGAGGAGGAGGAGGAGGAGAAGGGGGAAGAAUAGAAUUGUGUUUGCUUUUAUGUGCUAGCUGACAAAUAUUGUCCCAACCUGAGAGCCGUCCAUUGCGACUUCGGAAAGCUUUUCCUUUGCCCGAGUCCUUUUUUUUUUUUUUGCACAGAAAAAUGGAGUAACUUCCCUCUUUGGAGUCUGACAAAAAGCCUCCAUCCGGUGCAGAUUCUCCAUCUCUCUCUCUCCAUCACUAGACGGAGAAACACACUCUCUCUCCCCCCCCCUCCCCAAAUCAGCAUGGAAAUGUAGCCCAGAAAAUUAGGAAAGGAAGGGGGAGGGGGAAAAAUCAAUAAUAGUCGCAAUCUAAACUCACUGCUGGGUGUGUGUGGGUGUGCGUGUGUGCAUAUCCGCCUUCUCCUCCUAUUUUUAGCCCUAUCGAGCUUACACAUGUAAGUGAGGAAAAAAAAUGUUAAAAGAGACGCGAGUCCUACAGAGGACGGUGAUCCGACCCAAGAUACAGCGGCCAAAAGAAUGGUAGAAUAACCACAUGGGAAAUCAUAAAAAGUUCAUGUUCACGGUUAGCAGUCCACAUGACCAGCUCUGGCCAAUCGGAGAACCCAGCCACUCAUAAAGUUCUAUCACAAAGUUGUAAAUUUUCAUAAAACAACAAGGAAUUUAUUGCAUUUCUUCAUGACUGCCUUAACAGCAGUCUUUUUCUCCGCCGCCAUCUUUUCUUUAAAAAAAAAACCCCGAAGAGAAGAAUAUGCAAAGAUUCUGCACGCCCCCCCCCCCACCACUCCCCGACGGGAAUCUCGAACAACCCCUGUUCUAGUAAAGGUUAAAAGAACCUACUUUUAUAAGACUAAAGAUUUGCUAGAGCAUUUCACUCUCCAAAGGUCCUUGCUAUUUUGCUAUAGGGUGUGUGUACUGUGUGUGCGUUUUUGUGUGUAUAUUUAUAUAUUUACUUGGAUUAUUAUUUUUUUAAUUACUAAAGAGAGCAUUCCGCUCAGGAAUCCAGCGAUAUAUUGUUUCGAAUGGUCUUUGUUAAGGCAAAGAGCCUGCUUCGAUUAUUUCAAACUAUUUAUUGUUUUCUCCUUAAAGCGGUUGAUAUUUUGAAAUCUAGGCGGUUUCCCUUCUGGAAAUUCACCCACAAAUUUGUAAGAUUUGACCCCUCCCCUCAACCAGAAUGGAAUGGAUUUGAGUUUUUGGGAUAAUUAUGCAGCGUAAGUUUGCAUUUCAGACAGACAGAUGGACAGGUAUGCAAUCAUAUGCCACUCCGUGCGCUCACACAAAUUCAUGUAUGCAUGUAUGCAUGUAUGUAUGUAUAUGUCUGUCUGGUGUUACAGAUACAGCCAUACAUACGUAAUACAGGGAAAGAGAGAUGCACAGGCGCAGUACUGCACCCAGAUGCGUCCACUACCGCAGUGGCACAUGCCACGGAAACAAUAGUAGCGCCCCAAUGCAGCAAAAUCGUCAGAGGUGGGCGAACGGGGUCCAGUUGCUACUUGGGAAAGGUCUGUUGGAUUAAGAUCCACUUUGCCAAGGAAACAGCAAUAUUUGUUUUCGUUGGUGUUUUUAUUUUAUUUUUUUAAGGAGGAAACAUAGUACCGCACGUUAGUAUCUGCAAUGGGCUUGCUAUGCAUGGUUACACAGGCGGGCAGAGCUGCAGGUAAACCCGCAAACACUCAAUGGCACGGCAGCGGGUAGCCACUCCAUACCCAAAUCUCAGAAUCAGAAUAGACCGACCAUUUUGCUCAUAGGUCGUUUUAUUUGGGCCUGAUAUUUGCAGGAAGCAUCUAUUCAGUGUGAAUUUGUGAAUGUGUGUACCUUAUUUGUGUCUACAGAACACACGCUGCGGAUAGGUAACAACACACAGGCGCGUCCACAGGUAUGGACAAUUUAUGCCCAUUCACACGAAUACGUAAACACAAACCCCGGCUGUGUGUUUAGGGGUGUUUAGUGCCUCUCUAAGAAGAGAUCUAUCUAACAUCUACCUGACAGAUUAUCUGUGUAAACAUCGGUCAGAAGUGUUGUUUUUUUCUGGCAAAUAUUUUAUUUGAAAUGUUAGGUUUUUCUGUGAAAGAUUCAACUGGAAAUGCAUUUUUUUCCCAGCACAUUUUUUAAAGAGCUGUCAAUAUAUAAUAGCGAGGACUCCUUCCUUUUCUUUCGAAAGUUUAUCUGUACCUUUAUUAAAAAUCCUUUGCAGGCAGGAAGAAUAUUGUCUUUAAAAGUGAUUGUUGUUAGGGAAAGGUAGAUUUUAAAAUAUCGCCAAAAUACCAAGUACUUCCAAUUUGUUUAUGUGGGUAUAGAAAGGAAAGCAAAGACAAAUCCAUUUGCAACCCCAACCGUAGCCUGUUUUAUUUUCCAUUAUUCCACCUUAGAGGCUAAAGCUAUAUCCAAUACAUCCCGGAGACUGUAGAAUCUUGCCAUUCAAGCUUCUCAUUUAAAAAAAUAAAAUAAAAUAAAGGAUAUAUUGAUAUCAUC
Molecule: long non-coding RNA, 3238 nt
Organism: Sphaerodactylus townsendi
Lineage: Eukaryota; Metazoa; Chordata; Lepidosauria; Squamata; Sphaerodactylidae
Exons: 2
Source: RefSeq, a predicted model, not a curated record